CAAUAAAUCCAAGAAUUUCACCUCUGACAAUUGAAUACUAAUGCCCCCAACUAUCCCUAUUAAUCAUUACGUCAAUCCUAGAAACCAACAAAAUAGGAUCGAACGUCCUAUUUCAUUAUUCCAUGCUAAUGUAUUCAAGCGUUAGCUUGCUUUAAACACUCUAAUUUUUUCAAAGUAACAGUCCAAAUUCCCCGCAACACCAAAUUAAUGGCAUUACGGCUCAUCAGGAAGGAGGAAUCAGUGAGACCAGUACAUACCAGAGGCAUGACCA
Molecule: ribosomal RNA, 271 nt
Filed under: uncultured Glomus
Lineage: Eukaryota; Fungi; Glomeromycota; Glomeromycetes; Glomerales; Glomeraceae
Description: partial 18S ribosomal RNA
Source: RNAcentral